GACGAACGCUGGCGGCGUGCCUAAUACAUGCAAGUCGAGCGAGCUUGCCUAGAUGAUUUUAGUGCUUGCACUAAAUGAAACUAGAUACAAGCGAGCGGCGGACGGGUGAGUAACACGUGGGUAACCUGCCCAAGAGACUGGGAUAACACCUGGAAACAGAUGCUAAUACCGGAUAACAACACUAGACGCAUGUCUAGAGUUUGAAAGAUGGUUCUGCUAUCACUCUUGGAUGGACCUGCGGUGCAUUAGCUAGUUGGUAAGGUAACGGCUUACCAAGGUAAUGAUGCAUAGCCGAGUUGAGAGACUGAUCGGCCACGUUUGGACUGAGACACGGCCCAAACUCCUACGGGAGGCAGCAGUAGGGAAUCUUCCACAAUGGACGAAAGUCUGAUGGAGCAACGCCGCGUGAGUGAAGAAGGUCUUCGGA
RNAcentral lists this ribosomal RNA (427 nucleotides) under uncultured Lactobacillus sp. Its description in RNAcentral is "bacterial SSU rRNA". It matches the Rfam family "Bacterial small subunit ribosomal RNA", at positions 28 to 422 of the family's 1533-position model. The record is from RNAcentral. Lineage: Bacteria; Bacillati; Bacillota; Bacilli; Lactobacillales; Lactobacillaceae.